CAUUUUGGACACUUAUAUGAUGACGGCACUCUGGCAGGGAACUCACAAAGGUGGACACUGGACACUCAUUAUCAUGUAUCUUAAGGAAAUGCGGUCGUUAUACCUCGACCCAUUUG
Long non-coding RNA from Anarrhichthys ocellatus (wolf-eel), 116 nucleotides. RefSeq lists it as uncharacterized. Lineage: Eukaryota; Metazoa; Chordata; Actinopteri; Perciformes; Anarhichadidae. The transcript has 3 exons. The record is from RefSeq and is a predicted model, not a curated record.